GAGUUUGAUCAUGGCUCAGAUUGAACGCUGGCGGCAUGCCUAACACAUGCAAGUCGAACGAGGGUAGCAAUACCUUAGUGGCGGACGGGUGAGGAAUACGUAGGAAUUUGCCCUUAAGUGGGGGAUAGCCCGGGGAAACCCGGAUUAAUACCGCAUGAUCUCGAAAGAGCAAAGUGGGGGAUCGCAAGACCUCACGCUUUUGGAGAAGCCUACGUCGGAUUAGCUAGCUGGUGAGGUAAUGGCUCACCAAGGCGACGAUCUGUAACUGGUCUGAGAGGAUGAUCAGUCACACCGGAACUGAGACACGGUCCGGACUCCUACGGGAGGCAGCAGUGGGGAAUAUUGGACAAUGGGCGAAAGCCUGAUCCAGCAAUGCCGCGUGUGUGAAGAAGGCCUCCGGGUUGUAAAGCACUUUAAGUUGGGAGAAAAAACUCGCUCUAACACAGUGAGUCUUGACGGUACCGACAGAAUAAGCACCGGCUAACUCUGUGCCAGCAGCCGCGGUAAUACG
This 511-nucleotide ribosomal RNA is filed under the name uncultured eubacterium WR8168. RNAcentral's name for it is "bacterial SSU rRNA". It matches the Rfam family "Bacterial small subunit ribosomal RNA", at positions 9 to 527 of the family's 1533-position model. The record is from RNAcentral.